UCAGUAACACGUAGUCAACAUGCCCAGGGGACGUGGAUAACCUCGGGAAACUGAGGAUAAACCGCGAUAGGUCACUACUUCUGGAAUGGGUAAUGACCCAAACCUAUAUGGCCCCUGGAUUGGACUGCGGCCGAUCAGGCUGUUGGUGAGGUAAUGGCCACCAAACCUGUAACCGGUACGGGCUCUGAGAGGAGGAGCCCGGAGAUGGGCACUGAGACAAGGGCCCAGGCCCUAUGGGGCGCAGCAGGCGCGAAACCUCUGCAAUAGGCGAAAGCUUGACAGGGUUACUCUGAGUGAUUUCCGGUUAAGGAGAUCUUUUGGCACCUCUAAAAAUGGUGCAGAAUAAGGGGUGGGCAAGUCUG
RNAcentral lists this ribosomal RNA (362 nucleotides) under unidentified archaeon. Its description in RNAcentral is "bacterial SSU rRNA". It matches the Rfam family "Archaeal small subunit ribosomal RNA", at positions 90 to 454 of the family's 1478-position model. The record is from RNAcentral.